RNAcentral lists this ribosomal RNA (700 nucleotides) under uncultured bacterium. RNAcentral's name for it is "bacterial SSU rRNA". It matches the Rfam family "Bacterial small subunit ribosomal RNA", at positions 8 to 725 of the family's 1533-position model. The record is from RNAcentral.
AGAGUUUGAUCAUGGCUCAGGAUGAACGCUGGCGGUCUGCUUAACACAUGCAAGUCGAACGGGUUUAUUUCCUUCGGGGAAUAAAUUAGUGGCGGACGGGUGAGUAACGCGUGAGAAUCUACCUUAAGGACGGAGAUAACAGAGGGAAACUUCUGCUAAUCCCCGAUGAGCUAGCAAUAGUAAAAAGAUUUAUCGCCUUGAGAUGAGCUCGCGUCCGAUUAGCUAGUUGGUAAGGUAAAAGCUUACCAAGGCAACGAUCGGUAGCCGGUCUGAGAGGACAAUCGGCCACACUGGGACUGAGACACGGCCCAGACUCCUACGGGAGGCAGCAGUGGGGAAUUUUCCGCAAUGGGCGAAAGCCUGACGGAGCAAGACCGCGUGGGGGAGGAAUGCCUUAGGGUUGUAAACCCCUUUUAUAUGGGAAGAAACUAUCUUAAAAAAUAGCUGACGGUACCAUAUGAAUAAGCCUCGGCUAACUCCGUGCCAGCAGCCGCGGUAAUACGGAGGAGGCAAGCGUUAUCCGGAUUUAUUGGGCGUAAAGCGUUCGCAGGUGGUUCUUCAAGUCUGCUGUUAAAGACAGUGGCUCAACUACUGAAAGGCAGUAGAUACUGAAAGACUAGAGUGCGGUAGGGGCAGAGGGAAUUCCCGGUGUAGCGGUGAAAUGCGUAGAUUUCGGGAAGAACAUCGGUGGCGAAGCGCU